CCACCACUCUCUUGGGCAUUUAACCGAACACUUGAUGCAAAAACAGCUCUUUCCCAUAAAUUCAAUACCGAAUUAUUCCCAACUGAAACAGCCUUUCUGGGGUUGAAAUUACUACCAUUUAGGAUCUGUUUAAGUGCUGUACUGAUCCCAUGCCAUUUACUUAAAACAGCAAAUAUCUGAUGAGAACUUAUAGUUCCAAGCUUAAUACCCUUGCGGGUCAUUGAUUCAAGACAGGUUUCAAGUUGCGUUGUAAGAAAAGGCAACGAAGGCGGUGAACAGUUGGACCAAGAACCCCAUGGAAAUGAUUGUCCAUGAAUUGGGUGAUGAUCUUUCACAGAUUCAGCAAAGUCUAUGUAGCCUGUGAUAUGAGGGCCACUGUUCCAUUUACCCAUGAGACCUGCCAAACACAAUUGUUAGAAGGAAGGCAGCCCGAGCCGGGUCCAGGGAAGGGCCGGACCACAAGGGUCUAUUGUACGCAACCUUACCUUGCAUUUAUGCAAGAGGCUGUUUCCACGGCUUGAACCCGUCACCUCCUGAUUGUAUCAAUACCAAAUCCAUGUCUAACUUAGACCUAUUACUUACGUUCGAGAAUGAGGGUGGUUUUGCCGACGCCACGAGGGCCGUGAAGGAUAAGGGGUUGAGGUACACGGUGGUGUUGAGCAUGGUUGUUGAGGACAGUUUCAAGAAGGGACCUUGGGAUUAUUCUCCAUGCCUUGUUCACCAUUGAGUUUUUUCAGGGAGCAUCAAGACUAACUAGCAAAAGUAAAACACACAAAAUUCUCACUUGAGCAAAAGAAUCAUUGAAGACCACAUCAAAAAGCUCCAAAAUUACCCCCAAAUCAAGCCAAGAUGCUAGAAAAGAUCGAUAUACUGUUGUUGAUGCUAAUGAACCGAAGUUUGAUGAACCCAAAGAGAGCCCGAAUGUUGAUCUGUGAAUUUAGAUAGAGGAUGAUGAUCCAAAUUGUUAAUGUAAAGAUUUUUGAAGACUUUGGUUGUGUUUGAUGAUUUUAUGCAGAAUUAAGCAGUAAAAUUGGAAUUGAUCUGUUAUCUGUGUAAUCACCUUUAUUUGUAAAUAAAAUUGCAUUUUUUAAAAAAAAAAACUAGCAACAGUAAAGCAGUGUUCUCCCAUCAUACACCAAGUAAAAUGAAUCACCCUGGUAUGCUCUUGUUUAGGGAGGAGGAUAAAAAGUAUUUUAAGUAUACCUGGGCUUGGACCUCAAAUUCAUGGUCUGCAAGCUAGAGUUGGCCAUAAAUUUCAAAAUAUUUUUGGAAAAUUAGAUUUGGAUAGAGUUUGAAUGAUGUUUCAAUAUGUAUUUAGCUAUAGCUUUUGGAAAACAUAUUUUACUCUUUUUCGGAAAAAACACAAAACAUGAUUUAUAUCCAUAAGCUUUAAAAAUUAUUAAAAAUUUAAGUUUGACACAAAAUAAUCAUUUUUAUAAUGAACUAAAUAAUGCAUUAUCCAAAAAUUUCAGCAUGUCCAGCCGAAUCGUGGUUAAUUUCCAGCGUUAUUGAAAAUCAUGUUUAUAAAAGUUAUGGCUAGAAGUUAAAAAUGUGGAGCAUGUUCAUUUAGUUAAUGCUCAUUGGCAGAAUCACAUUUAGGAUAUAUUUUUUUCAUCAUAUUUGGCAUGUCUGCUUCCGGUUGGAUAACCCAUCCAUAGGAGAUUAUUCAUGUUAUCUAGAUUGGUCGAAGUUGAGUAUCCUCAUACAGCUAGAAACAAUGCAUAUAGACAUUAAUUUGCAUUGAAGCAUGCCCUCAUAAAUUAACAGUGUUUGAUAUUAUGUCCAUAGGAAAUGAUGGUUUCAUGGCAUCGCCAGCUUAAGUAUCAUUCAUCAAAAGAUAUCAUGCCUAUAGGAUUUAAUUUAUCACCUAGCGGCUUUAAUUAAUCAAGAGGCUUGCUUACUUGAAAACCAUUGUGUGAUACUUGUCCCACAGUCCUAUUUAUUCUGUUUGACCUAAUCCUGAGUCUAAUUAAGCAACCUAAGAUUUCUCUGUGUCUAGACGCACAUCAAAAAUAGUAAGUCCAAUGCCUCUUGGACCCUAAGUUGGAACGGGUAGGCAUUUUAGGAGUGUUAGUUUUAUCAUUUUUUAAGUGAGAUUCUAGGUCUAAUCAAAGGCGCGCGUAAGCCCGAGAAUGAGGCUCAAAACGUGUUGAGCGCUUUGCCUCGCUUUAUGUGCGCUUCACUAUCAUCAUCAAGGUUUUAAGACAUACUUCUCCUUGCCAAUGAGUCUCUUCCGAAAAGGCACCACUAAACAAUUGAUGCUCCACUCUAUCAUAAUUGUUUCUCAAUUUCUUUGUUCAGAUAUUUGUCAUCCAUGCUUAUAAUUAUUAGUCUUGGACUAAACAUAAAUAUUUAUUUUUUCUCCCUUUGUGCCUUUUUAAUUGAAGUCCACGCUUCUAUUUGCGCUUUAAGCCCCAACAGACCUUACAACUUUUUUGUGCUUUUCGCUUUUGAUAACACUGGUUUAAUAAAAAAAACUAAUAACCAAACUUAGGCAGGUAGUAGGAGAUGAUAGUUUGUGCCUGCUGAAUAAUAUAAGCAAUCCUUAAUCCGGUUGCAAAGUAUUAUUUUAGUUAAACGGGGUGAUCCCAUUAGGAAAACCCCCUCCCCCCAAAAAUUUUUCCUUCUACAUAGGGAGUGAUCUAGAUGAUACACUUAUAGCUCGAUGGUCAUUGCACUUUGUCUAAGAAGUCUUUUUAAAGACUUUGCACGAGGUUGAGCAAUUACUCCUCAAUGUACGGACUUUUCAGUUAAAGUAGUUGCCAAGUGAGAGCAUAAAUCAAUAGGGAUCUCAUCUAGACAAUCGAAUCCAUUUUAUCACGAAUUAGUCAAUGUUAACCAAAUAUAUCCACGUUGGAGGCUGUAAUAAUCAAACUUGAGCAAGAAAGAAGGCAAAUUAGGCAAAAUUACCAUAUCAUCAUAUGAAUCAAGGCUACUUUAUAACUCUAGAUGAUCAUGGAAAUCAAGAUAGACUCUGGUAAAAUGAGUUUUCGAAACAAGUCACGAUAAGAUUUCAAAUUUUGACGCAUGUAAUCAAAUACAACGAGCAUGAGUAUAGAAUCAAACCGGGACCUAAGCGAAACUGGGGCUGUAACAUAGGACAAGUAUUAAUCAGAACUUAAUCAUUAAACCCACACCAAUACCCAAAUCUCAAAAUCAGCUAAGAAAAGAAAUCAAUUGAGUUUGAGUAUGAAAAAAAGAACACGCAGAACAUACCGGAGACGAAUUCAGAUUCUUUUCGGAUGCAUACCGUGGAGGCUGACGGGUGAACUUACCUAGUCUUCCAACAUAUUCAAACCCUUUGGGAUUUGGAGUUUUAAGUAGGAAACGGGGAGUGGAGAGGGGGGAGGAGAGUAUAUGGGACGCGGUGG
This 3371-nucleotide long non-coding RNA is filed under the name Capsicum annuum. RNAcentral's name for it is "long non-coding RNA (CANN_LNC020403)". Lineage: Eukaryota; Viridiplantae; Streptophyta; Magnoliopsida; Solanales; Solanaceae. The record is from RNAcentral.